Molecule: long non-coding RNA, 150 nt
Organism: Abrus precatorius (Indian licorice)
Lineage: Eukaryota; Viridiplantae; Streptophyta; Magnoliopsida; Fabales; Fabaceae
Exons: 3
Source: RefSeq, a predicted model, not a curated record
CGGAUUUACACACAUAUUACACCCUAAGAAACCAAAAAGAACUCACCUGAGUACCAGCCAUAUCAAUCAUGUUCCCAUCUGCCAGCAUAUUAUCCACAACCUUUUCACUGUCAAAAACAAUAAACCCAAAGCCCCGAGAACGCUUAGUAG